UAGCCCAGGACCUCAUUGUCCAUUUUGGGAAUUUUUGGGAAAUUUAGGGAGUUUUUUAUAAGGUCCUUGUAGCCCAAGACCUCAUUGUCCUUUUUGGGAAUUUUUGGGAAAUUUAGGGAAUUUUGGGAAAUUUUGGGAGUUUUUUAUAAGGUCCUUGUACCCCAGGACUUCAUUGUCCAUUUUGGCCUGGAAUGAAGGGAAAAAGUCAUUUGGGGUGCAGAAGGGAAUUUUGGGGAAGUUUAGGGAGUUUUUUAUAAGGUCCUUGUACCCCAGGACCUCAUUGUCCAUUUUGGGAAUUUUUGGGAAAUUUAGGGAAUUUUUGGGAAAUUUAGGGAGUUUUUUAUAAGGUCCUUGUAGCCCAGGACCUCAUUGUCCAUUUUGGGAAUUUUUGGNUCCCGGAUCACCUGCGGGAAACGGGAUCGGGGUCAGAGACCCCCCCGGUUCAGCACCAACCCCUCCCCACACAGCAGGGCCAGCACUCACCUCUGGAGACGGAGGAGGAGACAUGGAUUUGGGAGACAGGGAGCGCUGCAGAAGGCAAGGAUUGAAGUAAUUUUAAUUUAUUUUUAAUUAAUUUUAAUUAAUUUUUAAUUAAUUUCAAAAUAUAAAAAUAAUAUUAUUAAUAUUAUAUAAUUCAAUGUAAUUAAAUGAA
This 652-nucleotide long non-coding RNA is filed under the name Zonotrichia albicollis (white-throated sparrow). RNAcentral's name for it is "lncRNA (ENSZALG00000000730.1)". Lineage: Eukaryota; Metazoa; Chordata; Aves; Passeriformes; Passerellidae. The record is from RNAcentral.